UACGGAGGGCGCAAGCGUUAAUCGGAAUUACUGGGCGUAAAGCGUGCGCAGACGGUUAUCUCAGUCGAGUGUGAAAGCCCCGGGCUCAACCUGGGAAUUGCAUUCGAUACUGAAUAGCUAGGGUGCGGAAGAGGGAAGUGGAAUUUCCGGUGUAGCGGUGAAAUGCGUAGAUAUCGGAAGGAACAUCAGUAGCGAAAGCGACUUCCUGGUCCAGCACCGACGUUCAGGCACGAAAGCGUGGGGAGCAAACAGG
This 253-nucleotide ribosomal RNA is filed under the name uncultured bacterium. Its description in RNAcentral is "partial 16S ribosomal RNA". It matches the Rfam family "Bacterial small subunit ribosomal RNA", at positions 524 to 776 of the family's 1533-position model. The record is from RNAcentral.